GUGAGGAAUCUUCCACAAUGGGCGAAAGCCUGAUGGAGCAACGCCGCGUGAAGGAUGAAGGUCUUCGGAUUGUAAACUUCUUUUAUGAGUGAAGAAUAUGACGGUAACUCAUGAAUAAGCACCGGCUAACUACGUGCCAGCAGCCGCGGUCAUACGUAGGGUGCAAGCAUUAUCCGGAGUGACUGGGCGUAAAGAGUUGCGUAGGCGGUUAUGUAAGCGAAUAGUGAAACCUGGUGGCCCAACCACACAGACUAUUAUUCGAACUGCAUAACUCGAGAAUAGUAUAGGUAACUGGAAUUUCUUGUGUAGGAGUGAAAUCCGUAGAUAUAAGAAGGAACACCAAUGGCGUAGGCAGGUUACUGGGCCAUUUCUGACGCGAAGGCACGAAAGCGUGGGUAGCUAACCGGAUUAGAAACCCCUGUAGUCC
Molecule: ribosomal RNA, 427 nt
Filed under: uncultured bacterium
Lineage: Bacteria
Description: partial 16S ribosomal RNA
Rfam family: Bacterial small subunit ribosomal RNA
Source: RNAcentral